Passer domesticus (house sparrow) is the source of this 3311-nucleotide long non-coding RNA. RefSeq lists it as uncharacterized. NCBI's taxonomy places the organism in Eukaryota, Metazoa, Chordata, Aves, Passeriformes, Passeridae. The transcript is spliced from 2 exons. The record is from RefSeq and is a predicted model, not a curated record.
CUUUCCAGCUCCUCCUGGGUGUAGCUGUAUCCAGAGAUUCCUUUCUUCUCCUCGAUUGCUUGCUGCAGACACAAACAACAAAUGCUGGAUAUGAGUCCAUCAACCAAGAAACAGCAAAUUCCUUCCUGGAGACAAAUACUGUGAAGAAGUGAAAAGGGAGCAGUAGGCAUGGAUGAGCAUUUAUAUGCAAAAAAGAUGAAACUCCUGAAGAAAAUGCAUGUGCAAACCUCACCCACCUGUGAACAAAGUGAGAGGAGCUCCCAUGCCCUGUUCUCAAAACCAGACUAUUCCCACUCCUGCAGCUCUGAGACAACUCUGAAUCCUUGGGAAACUCAGCAUUCUUGGGGCCCUGUGCUGAGCUCUGGAAAGUACAAUGGCUUGUGUAAAGGGCUAAAAAUAUCCCAGCUUUACCUAGAAUCACUUGUAAUUGAACCAUCCAGCAUUCCAAGUGUCAACAUGUGAUUCCCUAAUUUUCAGGAUCUGACAGCUGCAGUGAGGAGCUGCCAACUGUGCCCCUGCUCACUGCACUUUGAUUGAAGUACUUAAAAAGACUUCAUAAUCCCCAAAGACAAUUUAUUCCUACUUUUUUGUGUUUGAUGUAAAUGAUUUGGUUAUUCCCUGCUGUUUCUGCUGAGUUUGAGGUGUACAACCUCUCAAAGCCAGUGGAAUGCUUUUUAUGAUUGUGGAGAAAGCAAAACACCAGCACCUAAAAACCUAAGCCAGGCCUGACCUUUUGGUGAAGGAAGGGCUAAAACCACCUCAACUGGAGAUGCAAAUGCUGUUUUGGGAGCAUGAGUUAGGAAGGUGCUGAUUCUUCCAUUGCCAAGUCCUGAGAGUGCCAUGGGAUGCAAUAGGACAGAGCAAAGUGAGACAAGGCAAAGAUGAGAAAUGCUGGGUAUAGGAGAAAAACAAUGCUUUGAUUUAACUGUAGCACUUUGAUAGGAUUUAAAAAAAUCCAUUUAAAUUUAAGACAGCAAAGUUAUUUGUUAAAACCCCCUCUUUCUGCCUUUUUAAAAAUGGAGGAACUAAAUGUCAAACGUGUCACUGGAAGAGGAAAGUGUAAGGAAGCUCUUGGCUGUCAGAGUGUGAAGUGAAGGCUGAAUGGACAAACUCCUGUCCCCAUGAACUGCAGCACUGACUCACCACCACAUUAAUCAACACUUCCUUUGCUUCUGCCUCAAAGCUGGAGCACUGAACCAGAAAACACAAAUCCUGAAGCAGAACAUGCCAGAAACAAACCUGCAGCAGGAGGCUGGCUGGGAGUGAGGAACCCAGACUCUCACUGGGAGGGAGAACCUGCUCAUGCCACUUCUGCUUCAUCACCUCUUCCCUGCCAGCCCUGGCUCAUCUCAGCCCUGGCUCCUCACCCCCCUCUGAGGCAGGACUGCCUCUGUGCCUUUGCCAUGGACUUGGAGGAGAUCAGAAUCUACAGCACCAAGGCCCUGUGCAGCAAUUCUGGCAGCAGACAUUUACAAAGAAUUAAACAUCACUGUCUCCACCUUCCAGAUGAGGAAAACAUGACCUUUGAAACAGAAGUGACCAAAAACCAUCAAGAAUUCAAAUCCUUUCCUAGUCUUUAGGCACAGGAAACACCCUUUUUACUGCUUUGCACUGGUGCCUGUGAGUGCCACUGCACUUCACCUAAGGAAGUAAUAAACAUGAACAGGACAUGGAUUUAUAGAUUGGCUUCCUUGCCAAUACACAUUUCCUUGCAGAAAGUAUUUUACAAACCAGGAAAUGCUUCUUAUUAAAAGACAAACACUUCUGAGUUUAAGCCAGUCUUUUUUUCCAAAUUGCUCAUUUAUCCUUCUCUCUGCAAAAUGAAGACUUGAAAAUAUUUUAAAAAUCAAAAGCAGAACAUAUUUGAACAAAAGGAAUGCAGGCCAUGUCCAAAACAGAUCUUGUCCUUUUUCUGUCUUGAGCCACUUCCUUGUGUCAGACAGUUAACUUGAGUUUUUCAUUACUGAGCCUUUCACAAGGUUGUGAGGUUUCCUUCCUACCCAGUUCUCCUCAAAUUUCCAUGGAUCACUUUCUUGUCUGCUGAAGAAUAGGCACAAUUAUUUCUUACCUUACAGUGCCUGUGCAGAUAAUGUAAAACAUAUGCUGCUGUCUUGGUAAUACAUUCUUGUUGAUUAAUUAAGCACUUCUUUCCAUCACAUGUCACAAAACACAAAUUGUCAGCUUUCUGCUUUAAUUCUUGCUUAAAAACUUGUCAAAGACUCCAGCAAUGUGCCCACUGGAGCUGCAAACCUUGGAGUGGAGAGAAAUCCAAGGCAGUGGUUCCCUAUUAUUGUUACAAAGGGGAAGGGACAGUGUGUGAUGGGAAGAGAAACCAACAUCUUCAUUUUCCACAUCUCUGUGCCAUUCCUCCCACCUGAACUCUUCAUGCACACUUUCAGACUCCUUCAAAAGUAACUGAUUUUGUGGAGCAGCCACGUCCUAUGGGAUUAGGAAGGGAGUUCCUUUGAAAAAGGGCGUUCCCUGUAUUUAGUGGUAUGUAAAAAAAAGCACAAAAACAAAGAACAGGCAAGCAAAGAGUGUGUGCUAAAUGAAGGCAGUGCAAAGACAAUACAUGGGAGAAUGAUAUUAACUCAGAGAAUGAUGCAGAUAAAAUUCUCUUUAGUUUAGUGACUCUGCCUGUAAGUUCCCUUAGCAGGAUUCUUCCCAACUGGGAAAAAAUUACUGGCUGAAGGAAAGUCCAUUUAUUUUGCUGGCAAACCAGUACCAAACUGCAGCUCCCUUAUUCUUCACAAAUUUCUGAAGCAGAAAAAGCUGCUUGGAGCAGUACAGCUGCAAACCUCACUGUGCCUGGGCCACACUGUCUGUGCCAGCCAAGUCAGAGUCACAGCUGAACCUCAGGAGGAUCUGGGAAAUUUGGGUUUUAAGUAAAAACUUUUGUGGGUAAUCAAUACCACAGGACUAAUUGCAUCUCUGAUAAUCACUGGCACUAUGCUUUGUAAGCAUACAGACUUUUUACAUUAUUUACAAUCACAUUGACCUUUAUGGUUAGCUGUUCACCAUCACUGAUGAUAUGUGAUGAUAUUGCCAUUAUUUGGCUGGAAUGUUAAUCCAGCCCAACACUGAGUCCUUGCAUGCCUUGCAAUGGAUCAGGCACAAUGUGAGUGAGAGAAAUUAAUCAUUUGAAAAUAGCUACAAAUCCCUACCUCAUCCUCAGUCAUGGCUAGAGAGCCUCCCAGCUCGUGGGCCUGGCUGUUCUUCUGCUCCACCUGCUUCUCCAGGCUGGACAUCUCCUCCUUGGCAGCCUGAAGCUCUUCUGCCUUGGCUUCUUUCUUCCGGGAAAUUAUAGAAGC